This 88-nucleotide transfer RNA is filed under the name Candidatus Nephrothrix sp. EaCA. Its description in RNAcentral is "tRNA-Ser". It matches the Rfam family "tRNA". Rfam says of the family: Transfer RNA (tRNA) molecules are approximately 80 nucleotides in length. Their secondary structure includes four short double-helical elements and three loops (D, anti-codon, and T loops). Further hydrogen bonds mediate the characteristic L-shaped molecular structure. tRNAs have two regions of fundamental functional importance: the anti-codon, which is responsible for specific mRNA codon recognition, and the 3' end, to which the tRNAs corresponding amino acid is attached (by aminoacyl-tRNA synthetases). tRNAs cope with the degeneracy of the genetic code in two manners: having more than one tRNA (with a specific anti-codon) for a particular amino acid; and 'wobble' base-pairing, i.e. permitting non-standard base-pairing at the 3rd anti-codon position. The record is from RNAcentral. Lineage: Bacteria; Pseudomonadati; Bacteroidota; Cytophagia; Cytophagales; Cytophagaceae.
GGAGAGGUGCGGGAGCGGCUGAACCGGCACGCCUGGAAAGCGUGUAUACCGCAAGGUAUCGAGGGUUCGAAUCCCUCUCUCUCCGCCA